GGAAAAUUCACUAUCCGUCAAUCGUGAUCGGAGAUUUUGAUGUCGGAGAUAGUAGUAGAAGAGGAAUCUAUAAUAAUGGAGAAUUUGUGUAUGGAUAUUGAUCCUCCGUUCAAGGAGAACCUCGCUACUGCUGAAGAUUGGCGGAAGGCUCUUAGCAAAGUAGUUCCUGCUGUCGUCGUACUCCGAACUACUGCUUGCCGAGCAUUCGACACUGAAUCUGCUGGUUGCAGCUCCGCAACGGGUUUUGUUGUUGAUAAGCGUCGCGGAAUUAUACUCACGAAUCGACAUGUUGUUAAACCUGGACCUGUGAUGGCGGAGGCUAUGUUUGUGAACCGUGAAGAAAUACCAGUUUACCCCAUAUACAGGGACCCUGUUCAUGAUUUUGGCU
This 388-nucleotide unclassified non-coding RNA is filed under the name Hevea brasiliensis (rubber tree). Lineage: Eukaryota; Viridiplantae; Streptophyta; Magnoliopsida; Malpighiales; Euphorbiaceae. The record is from RNAcentral.